CUUAAAGUAGCUUUACAUAGACAGUGUUGUCAUUAUUCAGUUCAAUACAGUUAAUCAGUAAUUCAAUUCAGUUCAUCAUUGAUUCAAUUCAGUUCAGUAACUGUGAAAGUUGCAAAGAUAAUUAAUUAUUAAACGAUUCAGUGACCAGUGUUAUUAUUCAGCUUAAUUCAGUUCAUUGUUGAUUCAGUUCAGUUAAGUGUUGAUUUAAUUUAUUUCGAUAGCCUAACUAUCAAUGUUGAAAUAGAUAUCAAUUACGCAAAGAAUUGAAUUUAGCUAUAAAGCAGCUCUACAGAAGACAGCAGUGUCUUUAUUCAGCUCAGUUCAAUGUUUAUUCAGUUCAGUUCAAAUUUAAUCAAUUAUGAAAUGUUCAAUUAUUCAGCUCAAGUCAGUUCAGUGUUCAUUCAAAACAGUAACACACUGUCACGGUGUCUGUUCUGUGUCUCCCUGGGUGGCCACUAGAGGUCUCACUUCCCCUGAUUGUCACCCCCUUCUGAACUACAUUUCCCACUAGCCUUAUCUGUUCAUCACUGUUCAUUGUGUUCAGCUGUCACCACUUACCUUGUUUGCACCUGUCUUUAAAUACCCUGGUUGUUUCUGUCAUUGUUACGGAGUCCUUGUUGAAUGUCACCCUGCGUUUUCCUGGUUCCCUGGUUUUUCGUGUUUCUGGAUGUUGUCUAUGUUUCUUGUUUUGGACGGAUUACCUGGAUUUUGACCUUUGCCUGGAUGUUUUCUGAUUUUGGAUCACCCCAAUAAACAUACUGCUUUUGGAUCUACCUGUCUGUGUGCGUGUCGUGACAGAAGGACUCCGUCAUGCCUAGAUCCAGCGGUAUGUUUUUUGAGGUUUCUCCCCCAGCCAUCGAGCGGGAGAGAAGGAUAGAGUUUGAGGGAACCCGCCUGGUCAUUUUUCGUGGGACCCGGGGAGGUCGCAGAGGAGUGAGUGGUCGAGAGGAGGCUCAGAAUCGCUCUCAACCAUGGCCCCCCUUCGAUCCGGGGCUCGUGUGGGAUGGAUCAGAGCCACUGUCUCACCAUGGCAGACGGAGAGGGGAGAAGAAGCGCACGUCCGCCAUGGUGGCGCCACUGCCCAUGAUGCCACUGCCAGGGCCAGCGCCACGAGGCAAGAUGGACGCCAGCUCAGCGCCACAGCACAAGGUGGUCACCAGCCCCACGCCACGAGGCCAGACGGCCGCCAGCCCAGCGCCACUGUCCAAGAUGGCCACUGAGACAUUUUUGAAUUACUUCUCCAGGUUGAACAAGAUCCUAGAGGUUCCCAGGAGUGUUCACGUCACGGCUGCUGAGCCAGCGCCACAGCACAAGAUGGCCGCCAGCCCGGCGCCACAGCACAAGAUGGCCGCCAGCCCUGCGCCACAGCACAAGAUGGCCACCAGCCCAGCGCCACAGCACAGGAUGGUUGACUCAACGCCUGAGUCUUCCGUCAAGGAGCCACCGGCACGUCAUCAUAGAGGCCGCAGGAGGAGGAGACAGGCGUCAGCCGUUCCUCAAAGCCCGGAGGACGUUCCCGAGCAGGCCGCUGCCGUCCAGGAGGACGUUCCCGAGCAGGCCGCUGCCGUCCAGGAGGACGUGUCCAAGGUUCCCGAUGCCGAGGCAGUUCCCGAUGCAAUGCCCGAUGCCGAGGCGGUGCCCGAUGCCGAGGCGGUGCCUGAGGCGGUGCCGGAGGUGGCCGAGGCGGUGCCCGAUGCAAUGUCCGAUGCCGAGGCAGUGCCCGAUGCCGAGGCGGUGCCCGAUGCCGAGGCGGUGCCCGAUGCCGAGGCGGUGCCCGAUGCGGUGCCAGAGACGGUGCCAGAGACGGUUCCCGAUGUAAUGCCCGAGACCGAGGCUGUUCCGGAGGUCGAGGCGGUGCCCGAUGUUGUUCCCGAUGCCGAGGCGGUGCCCGAUGUUGUGCCCGAUGCCGAGGCUGUGCCCGAUGCCGAGGCUGUGCCCGAUGCCGAGGCUGUGCCCGAUGCCGGCGGUGCCCGAUGCUGUUCCGGAGGCCGAGGCGGUGCCCGAUGCUGUUCCGGAGGCCGAGGCGGUGCCCGAUGCGGUUCCGGAGGCCGAGGCGGUGCCCGAGUUGGUUCCAGAGACCGAGGCGGUGCCCGAUGCGCAGGCCGAGGUCGUUCCCGAGGCGGUGCCCGAACCGUCUCUGGCACCGUCUCUGGCACCGCAUCGGGCACCGCCUCGGCAUCGGGCACCGCCUCGGGCACCGCCUCGGCAUCGGACAUUGCAUCGGGAACCGCAUCGGCAACCGCAACGGGCACCGCCUCGGCAUCGGGCACCGCCUCGGCAGUGGACAUUGCAUCGGGAACCGCCUCGGCAUCGGGGACCGCCUCGGCCUCGGGCACCGCAUCGGGCACCGCCUCGGCAUCGGGGACCGCCUCGGGCACCGCCUCGGCAUCGGGGACCGCCUCGGCAUCGGACAUUGCAUCGGGAACCGCCUCGGGCACCUCCGGAACAGCCUCGGUCUCGGGCAUUACAUCGGGCACCGCCUCGGCAUCGGGCACCGCCUCGGCAUCGGGCACCGCCUCGGGCACCGCCCUGGCAUCGGGGACCGCCUCGGCAUCGGGCAUAGCAUCGGGAACCGCUUCUGUCUCGGCCACCUUCUCGGCCUCGGGCAUUGCAUCGGGAACCGCCUCGGGCUCGGCAUCGGGCACCGCCUCGGGAACGGCCUCGGCAUCGGGCACCGCCUCGGGAACCUUGGACACCUCCAUCUGGACGACCGCGGCCUGCUCGGGAACGUCCUCCUGGACGGCAGCGGCCUGCUCGGGAACGUCCUCCUGGACGGCAGCGGCCUGCUCGGGAACGUCCCUCCGGGCUUUGAGGAACGGCUGACGCCUGUCUCCUCCUCCUGCGGCCUCUAUGAUGACGUGCCGGUGGCUCCUUGACGGAAGACUCAGGCGUUGAGUCAACCAUCUUGUCUGCCAACACAGGUGUAGAUUCGACCCUCCUGUGCAGUGGUGCUGGGCUGGUGGUCAUCUCGUGCUGUGGUGCUGGGCUGGCGGCCAUCUUGUGCUGUGGCGCUGGGCUGGCGGCCAUCUUGUGCUGUGGCGCUGGGCUGGCGGCCAUCUUGUGCUGUGGCGCUGGGUUGGUGGCCAUCUUGUGCUGUGGCGCUGGGCUGGCGGCCCUCUUCUCUGGAGACACAGGUGUGGUCGAAGUAUCCCAUUGAGCACGAUGGCACAGGUAAUGGGUAAAACCCCCAAAAAGUCUAGGAUCUCCAGCCCCUUCAUCUCCCAUUGAGGUAAAGGGUCAUCCAGACAGUUGUUAAAAAAGUCCUUCAGUGCUGCAUCGUUAUAACCCAUCCCGACCGCCAUGGUCCAAAACAAUUGCGCCAGGCCACCCACCUCACUCCCCCUUUGACGAAGGGUGGUUAAGUUCCGGAAUCUCCCCCUCCGUUCCUCCAUGGUGGCUGGGGAACCGAUUCGAAAUCCCACACCGCUGGAUCUAGGCAUGACGGAGUCCUUCUGUCACGACACGCACACAAACAGGUAGAUCCAAUUGCAGUAUGUUUUAUUAGGAUAAUCCAAAUCUCAUGGUCAGCCAGGCAAAGGUCACAAUCCAGGUAAGCAGUCCAGAAACAAGAAACAUACACAACAUCCGAGAACCACGACAAACCAGGGUGACAUUCAACAAGGACUCCGUGACAAUGACAGAACAACCGGGGUAUUUAUACACAAGGAAAUGACAAUGCUAACGGGGAAUUGGCUGAGUGCAAUGAUUGAUAACCACGGACAGCUGAGUGCAAUGAGCAGUGAUGAAACAGACAAGACUAUGGGAAAUGCAGUUCUAAAGUGGAGUGACGAUAAGGGGAAGUGAGACCUCUAGUGGCCACCCAGGGAGACACAGAACAGACACCGUGACAGCAGGGGGUCGCGAGGACUGGAAUUGAAAAUUAACUUUGCAUAAAAAGUACCAGAUAUGGUAUCAUACCGUAAAAUAUUUUUAAUACGACUGACUUUGUAUUUAAUGUGAAUUUAAUAAAAACCAUUGUAAGUUACUAAUUAGCCUAUAACACUUUCAUUGUACAAAACUAGUGUGCCGCACUAGUCCUCAAAAGUGAAGCUUUCACGUUUCGAUCGGCCCCCAGGUGGCUGGUCCCAGUAUAGCCUAGGUCAUAAACCCCGCCCUCUCCAUGUAAUCUAACGAUACGUGAGACAAACUAAAUAAUUAAAAUUCACUUCAAAUAUUUUGUUUUCAAACAUGGUUUAUGUCAUUUGAUGUAGAUUUUAUCACGCUGAUGUAAGUUAGGGUGUUUGUUUUUAAAAUAAGUGUGGUUUUUGUUAGUUAUGUGAUGCUAUAAAAACGGGAGUGUGACGUCAUGAUUGACAGCUUAGACUGACAGCUCCUCUGAGCAAACUGAGGCACCAACGGACUUUUUCAGACGUUCAAGCACUCUCAAAAACUAUUUUAACAUUCCAGAAAGUUCUGUCCUC
Molecule: long non-coding RNA, 4421 nt
Organism: Cyprinus carpio carpio
Lineage: Eukaryota; Metazoa; Chordata; Actinopteri; Cypriniformes; Cyprinidae
Source: Ensembl